AGUUUGUCUGAUACCCAAACCCAUCGGUUACACUAAAUCACUAAUACACUUAGUCACGUCCCAUUUCCCAAACCUAAAUCAAAAAUUAAAUUUAGGGUUCUUCCUGUGCGACUGCUACGACUGUUGCGACUCGCCGUCGCCGACUACUACGACUUCUUUUGAGUUUUUGUGAGUUCUGCGCCUUCUUACUCAGCUCGACUAUGACGCCUUCUUCCUCAGCUCGUUGCUCAUCCUUCAUCCUCAGAUUUGAGCCGUCCGGAGGUUGUUUCAUACAAGAAGGUCAUUUUUGAGUAUCAGUUUAGCUUCUUUGAGAUCCAGGUAUUGGAGAUAUCAUACUCAGGCAGAGUUACCUUAUUGAUCGCGAGGAUUCAAGGCAGAGCUGCUUGGUUGUCGCAGUCCCUUGGAGUCCUUUUCUUUUAUUGUACUGUCAGCUUGUUAGUUGAACAAUAUUGUAUUUUGAUCUUUGUGAUCUUUUCAUGUAUUCAGCUAGGGUUCGUGACUCUGUAUUACCUAGUCUUGGGAGGUUGUGAUGAUUAUGGCCGCGUAGGCUUAUUUCACUUUUGUUUUGGUAUUCAUAUUAAACUAUGUUUUAAAAUUAUCAUUGUUAA
This is a non-coding RNA of Nicotiana tabacum (common tobacco), 608 nucleotides long. The record is from RefSeq and is a predicted model, not a curated record. Lineage: Eukaryota; Viridiplantae; Streptophyta; Magnoliopsida; Solanales; Solanaceae.